UGCAAGUCGAACGAUGAGGCCCCUCGGGGCGGAUUAGUGGCGAACGGGUGAGUAACACGUGGGCAAUCUGCCCCUCACUUCGGGACAAGCCCUGGAAACGGGGUCUAAUACCGGAUGACAUCCUUGCCCGCAUGGGCGGGGGUUGAAAGCUCCGGCGGUGAGGGAUGAGCCCGCGGCCUAUCAGCUGGUUGGUGAGGUAACGGCUCACCAAGGCGACGACGGGUAGCCGGCCUGAGAGGGCGACCGGCCACACUGGGACUGAGACACGGCCCAGACUCCUACGGGAGGCAGCAGUGGGGAAUAUUGCACAAUGGGCGCAAGCCUGAUGCAGCGACGCCGCGUGAGGGACGACGGCCUUCGGGUUGUAAACCUCUUUCAGCAGGGAAGAAGCGCAAGUGACGGUACCUGCAGAAGAAGCGCCGGCUAACUACGUGCCAGCAGCCGCGGUAAUACGUAGGGCGCGAGCGUUGUCCGGAAUUAUUGGGCGUAAAGAGCUCGUAGGCGGCCUGUCGCGUCAAUUGUGAAAGCCCGGGGCUUAACCCCGGGUCUGCAGUCGAUACGGGCAGGCUAGAGUGUGGUAGGGGAGAUCGGAAUUCCUGGUGUAGCGGUGAAAUGCGCAGAUAUCAGGAGGAACACCGGUGGCGAAGGCGGAUCUCUGGGCCAUCACUGACGCUGAGGAGCG
RNAcentral lists this ribosomal RNA (682 nucleotides) under Streptomyces sp. I08A-00448. RNAcentral describes it as "bacterial SSU rRNA". It matches the Rfam family "Bacterial small subunit ribosomal RNA", at positions 56 to 755 of the family's 1533-position model. The record is from RNAcentral. Lineage: Bacteria; Bacillati; Actinomycetota; Actinomycetes; Kitasatosporales; Streptomycetaceae.